RNAcentral lists this ribosomal RNA (200 nucleotides) under uncultured bacterium. Its description in RNAcentral is "partial 16S ribosomal RNA". It matches the Rfam family "Bacterial small subunit ribosomal RNA", at positions 28 to 220 of the family's 1533-position model. The record is from RNAcentral.
GAUGAACGCUAGCGGCAGGCCUAACACAUGCAAGUCGAGGGGCAGCAUAAUAAAAGCUUGCUUUUAUGGUGGCGACCGGCGCACGGGUGCGUAACGCGUAUGCAAUCUACCUUUUACAGAGGGAUAGCCCAGAGAAAUUUGGAUUAAUACCUCAUAGUAUAACAUGACCGCAUGGUCGAGUUAUUAAAGUCACGACGGUA